AUUGAUUUUAUGCUUGCAUAAAUGAUUUUUGGAUUCGGAGCGAGUGGCGAACUGGUGAGUAACACGUGGGUAACCUGCCCCGAAGCGGGGGAUAACAUUUGGAAACAAGUGCUAAUACCGCAUAAUUAGUUGGAACCGCAUGGUUCCAACUUGAAAGAUGGCUCUGCUAUCACUUUGGGAUGGACCCGCGCCGUAUUAGUUAGUUGGUGAGAUAAAAGCCCACCAAGACGAUGAUACGUAGCCGACCUGAGAGGGUAAUCGGCCACAUUGGGACUGAGACACGGCCCAGACUCCUACGGGAGGCAGCAGUAGGGAAUCUUCCACAAUGGACGAAAGUCUGAUGGAGCAACGCCGCGUGAGUGAUGAAGGUUUUCGGAUCGUAAAACUCUGUUGUUAAAGAAGAACAAGUGUUAGAGUAACUGUUAACACUUUGACGGUAUUUAACCAGAAAGCCACGGCUAACUACGUGCCAGCAGCCGCGGUAAUACGUAGGUGGCAAGCGUUGUCCGGAUUUAUUGGGCGUAAAGCGAGCGCAGGCGGUUUUGUAAGUCUGCUGUGAAAGCCCUCAGCUCAACUGGGGAAGUGCAGUGGAAACUACAAAACUUGAGUACAGAAGAGGAAAGUGGAACUCCAUGUGUAGCGGUGAAAUGCGUAGAUAUAUGGAAGAACACCAGUGGCGAAGGCGGCUUUCUGGUCUGUUACUGACGCUGAGGCUCGAAAGCAUGGGUAGCGAACAGGAUUAGAUACCCUGGUAGUCCAUGCCGUAAACGAUGAAUACUAGGUGUUGGAGGGUUUCCGCCCUUCAGUGCCGCAGCUAACGCAUUAAGUAUUCCGCCUGGGGAGUACGACCGCAAGGUUGAAACUCAAAGGAAUUGACGGGGGCCCGCACAAGUGGUGGAGCAUGUGGUUUAAUUCGAUGCUACGCGAAGAACCUUACCAGCUCUUGACAUCUUCUGCCAACCCAAGAGAUUGGGCGUUCCCUUCGGGGACAGAAUGACAGGUGGUGCAUGGUUGUCGUCAGCUCGUGUCGUGAGAUGUUGGGUUAAGUCCCGCAACGAGCGCAACCCUUAUUAUUAGUUGCCAGCAUUUAGUUGGGCACUCUAGUGAGACUGCCGGUGAUGAA
This 1123-nucleotide ribosomal RNA is filed under the name uncultured bacterium. RNAcentral describes it as "bacterial SSU rRNA". It matches the Rfam family "Bacterial small subunit ribosomal RNA", at positions 47 to 1162 of the family's 1533-position model. The record is from RNAcentral.